Molecule: ribosomal RNA, 243 nt
Filed under: Pseudomonadota bacterium
Lineage: Bacteria; Pseudomonadati; Pseudomonadota
Description: Proteobacteria bacterium (activated sludge metagenome) partial 23S ribosomal RNA
Rfam family: Bacterial large subunit ribosomal RNA
Source: RNAcentral
AGAGGACCGGAGUGGACGAACCUCUGGUGUUCCGGUUGUCACGCCAGUGGCACUGCCGGGUAGCUAUGUUCGGAAGCGAUAACCGCUGAAAGCAUCUAAGCGGGAAGCGCGCCUCAAGAUGAGAUUUCCCGGGGCACAAGCCCCCUAAAGGCACCAUCAAGACUAGGUGGUUGAUAGGCUGGGUGUGUAAGUGCAGUAAUGCAUUGAGCUAACCAGUACUAAUGAGCCGUGCGGCUUGACCAU